Molecule: microRNA precursor, 61 nt
Filed under: Pristionchus pacificus
Lineage: Eukaryota; Metazoa; Nematoda; Chromadorea; Rhabditida; Neodiplogasteridae
Description: mir-8364 microRNA precursor family
Rfam family: mir-8364 microRNA precursor family
Source: Rfam by way of RNAcentral
UCUUCAUUUCACGUGUUCUCUCACCGGUCAGAGAGUCAAGAGAGCACGCAAAAUGAAGAGA